AUGUUUCUUUCCAUCUUCAAACUUUGAUUUCUUUUAUUUAUAUUUUCUGAAUCGUUUUGAACAACUGUGAAUUUUAUAUCAAUGAUAUUUCAAAUUUGUGAAAUUAGUGGUGUUGUUUAGAUCUAUUAAAAAGAUAAGUGAUGUUUUCAGAUCUGAGAAAUCAAAUAUAUGUUCUUCUUCAUGAUUUCAUCUCAUCUUUUUCUCACAAUUUCAUUUGUAGGUGGUGAGGUUGCGGUUUCCGGUGGCGGCGCAUCUGUGCGUUUUUGUGUGAUUUGGAGGUGGUAAGGUUGCGAUCUCCGGUGAUGGAUGCAAGAUGAUUUCACGACGGAAAAUCGCCCUCAACCGACAAAGCUGCAACAUCUCAACAGACAUGCGGCGCCGACGCCUCCACAACCAAUCAACGACUACACCGCACGACCCCUCUUCAUUUCGGCACCAAGCCAUCGGCGUUCACCUGUAUCGUGCCUUGCUUGUAUCCACUACCACGGUUAAAUAUUCUUCGUGCCAGGCCACCGUAGCUGAUAGCUUUGGAAGGAUUUUGAUGAUAAACUUGAUUGGAUUAAGGAUAUUAAUGCCUUAGAUGGAGUUGUUGAGGGCAUUUAAUAUUUAGUCUUCAUCUUUUUCAGGUAACAACAACCUGCUAAUGCUAUGGCGGAGUCAAAUAUAGAUAUUCUACCAAAUACAAGUAACUACUACAUAGAGAAAAAUGAGAGUAAGAUAGAGAAAAACAAGAGACAUAAAAUAGGAGAUGAUUGCUAUUAAAAUUCAGUGGUUAAACUUUAGUAUGAUCAACUAUUUAUUAUCUUAAAAUACAAGAUGUUAUUAUAAAUGGUUUUAUAGGAUUCACAAUCAAAUAAAGUUUCAAGUAAAACCUUAUGAGGAUGUGGGUGGUUAAAAACUAAUCUACAACUAAUGUAUAUUUUUGGUCAACAUAUAUAACAAGCUAUUGCUAAUGUAAUUAAAUAGUUACUUAGUGUUUUACAAGUUUAAUUUAGUAACAUUAGUUAUAUUUGUGUGUUCAAAAAAGUUGGACGG
Molecule: long non-coding RNA, 1035 nt
Organism: Vicia villosa (hairy vetch)
Lineage: Eukaryota; Viridiplantae; Streptophyta; Magnoliopsida; Fabales; Fabaceae
Exons: 5
Source: RefSeq, a predicted model, not a curated record